GCUGGCAUAGCUCAAUUGGUAGAGCAACUGAUUUGUAAUCAGUAGGUUAAGGGUUCAAGUCCCCUUGCUAGCU
This 73-nucleotide transfer RNA is filed under the name Corynoplastis japonica. Its description in RNAcentral is "tRNA-Thr". It matches the Rfam family "tRNA". From Rfam's summary of the family: Transfer RNA (tRNA) molecules are approximately 80 nucleotides in length. Their secondary structure includes four short double-helical elements and three loops (D, anti-codon, and T loops). The record is from RNAcentral. Lineage: Eukaryota; Rhodophyta; Rhodellophyceae; Rhodellales; Rhodellaceae.